RNAcentral lists this ribosomal RNA (497 nucleotides) under uncultured bacterium. RNAcentral's name for it is "partial 16S ribosomal RNA". It matches the Rfam family "Bacterial small subunit ribosomal RNA", at positions 28 to 507 of the family's 1533-position model. The record is from RNAcentral.
GAUGAACGCUGGCGGCGUGCCUAAUACAUGCAAGCCGAGCGAACAGACGAGGAGCUUGCUCCUCUGACGUUAGCGGCGGACGGGUGAGUAACACGUGGAUAACCUACCUAUAAGACUGGGAUAACUUCGGGAAACCGGAGCUAAUACCGGAUAAUAUAUUGAACCGCAUGGUUCAAUAGUGAAAGACGGUUUUGCUGUCACUUAUAGAUGGAUCCGCGCCGCAUUAGCUAGUUGGUAAGGUAACGGCUUACCAAGGCAACGAUGCGUAGCCGACCUGAGAGGGUGAUCGGCCACGCUGGAACUGAGACACGGUCCAGACUCCUACGGGAGGCAGCAGUAGGGAAUCUUCCGCAAUGGGCGAAAGCCUGACGGGGCAACGCCGCGUGAGUGAUGAAGGUCUUCGGAUCGUAAAACUCUGUUAUUAGGGAAGAACAAAUGUGUAAGUAACUAUGCACGUCUUGACGGUACCUAAUCAGAAAGCCACGGCUAACUACGUG